This 540-nucleotide ribosomal RNA is filed under the name Pezizomycetes sp. genotype 30. RNAcentral's name for it is "eukaryotic LSU rRNA". It matches the Rfam family "Eukaryotic large subunit ribosomal RNA", at positions 10 to 554 of the family's 3401-position model. The record is from RNAcentral. Lineage: Eukaryota; Fungi; Ascomycota; Pezizomycetes.
AUCAGGUAGGGAUACCCGCUGAACUUAAGCAUAUCAAUAAGCGGAGGAAAAGAAACCAACAGGGAUUGCCUUAGUAACUGCGAGUGAAGCGGCAAAAGCUCAAAUUUGAAAUCUGGGGCCUCACAGCCUCCGAAUUGUAAUUUCACGAUACGUUUUCGACUGAAGGCUCUGCUUUAAGUUCCUUGGAACAGGACGUCACAGAGGGUGAGAAUCCCGUGAUAGGUGGAGCCUGAUGCAUAUGAUACGUAUUCAACGAGUCGAGUUGUUUGGGAAUGCAGCUCAAAAUGGGAGGUAAAUUUCUUCUAAAGCUAAAUAUUGGCGAGAGACCGAUAGCGCACAAGUAGAGUGAUCGAAAGAUGAAAAGCACUUUGAAAAGAGAGUUAAAAAGUACGUGAAAUUGUUGAAAGGGAAGCGCUUGAGACCAGACUCAAUCUGUAGUGAUCAAUUUGGCUUCUGUCAGAUGCACUUGCUACUUAUUGGGACAGCAUCGGUUUUGGCGGUGGGAUAAAGUCUUGAGGAAUGUAGCUAUCUUCGGGUAGU